GAUGAACGCUGGCGGCGUGCCUAAUACAUGCAAGUCGAGCGAACAGAUGAGGAGCUUGCUCCUCUGACGUUAGCGGCGGACGGGUGAGUAACACGUGGAUAACCUCCCUAUAAGACUGGGAUCACUUCGGGAAACCGGAGCUAAUACCGGAUAAUAUAUUGAACCGCAUGGUUCAAUAGUGAAAGACGGUUUUGCUGUCACUUAUAGAUGGAUCCGCGCCGCAUUAGCUAGUUGGUAAGGUAACGGCUUACCAAGGCAACGAUGCGUAGCCGACCUGAGAGGGUGAUCGGCCACACUGGAACGGAGACACGGUCCAGACUCCUACGGGAGGCAGCAGUAGGGAAUCUUCCGCAAUGGGCGAAAGCCUGACGGAGCAACGCCGCGUGAGUGAUGAAGGUCUUCGGAUCGUAAAACUCUGUUAUUAGGGAAGAACAAAUGUGUAAGUAACUAUGCACGUCUUGACGGUACCUAAUCAGAAAGCCACGGCUAACUACGUG
Molecule: ribosomal RNA, 497 nt
Filed under: uncultured bacterium
Lineage: Bacteria
Description: partial 16S ribosomal RNA
Rfam family: Bacterial small subunit ribosomal RNA
Source: RNAcentral